This 497-nucleotide ribosomal RNA is filed under the name uncultured bacterium. RNAcentral describes it as "partial 16S ribosomal RNA". It matches the Rfam family "Bacterial small subunit ribosomal RNA", at positions 28 to 507 of the family's 1533-position model. The record is from RNAcentral.
GAUGAACGCUGGCGGCGUGCCUAAUACAUGCCAGUCGAGCGAACAGACGAGGAGCUUGCUCCUCUGACGUUAGCGGCGGACGGGUGAGUGACACGUGGAUAACCUACCUAUAAGACUGGGAUAACUUCGGGAAACCGGAGCUAAUACCGGAUAAUAUAUUGAACCGCAUGGUUCAAUAGUGAAAGACGGUUUUGCUGUCACUUAUAGAUGGAUCCGCGCCGCAUUAGCUAGUUGGUAAGGUAACGGCUUACCAAGGCGACGAUGCGUAGCCGACCUGAGAGGGUGAUCGGCCACACUGGAACUGAGACACGGUCCAGACUCCUACGGGAGGCAGCAGUAGGGAAUCUUCCGCAAUGGGCGAAAGCCUGACGGAGCAACGCCGCGUGAGUGAUGAAGGUCUUCGGAUCGUAAAACUCUGUUAUUAGGGAAGAACAAAUGUGUAAGUAACUAUGCACGUCUUGACGGUACCUAAUCAGAAAGCCACGGCUAACUACGUG